RNAcentral lists this ribosomal RNA (615 nucleotides) under uncultured bacterium. RNAcentral's name for it is "bacterial SSU rRNA". The stretch from base 1 to 547 matches the Rfam family "Bacterial small subunit ribosomal RNA", at positions 338 to 873 of the family's 1533-position model. The record is from RNAcentral.
CCUACGGGAGGCAGCAGUGGGGAAUUUUGGACAAUGGGCGCAAGCCUGAUCCAGCCAUGCCGCGUGCGGGAAGAAGGCCUUCGGGUUGUAAACCGCUUUUGUCAGGGAAGAAAUCCCUUGAGCUAAUGCCUCGGGGGGAUGACGGUACCUGAAGAAUAAGCACCGGCUAACUACGUGCCAGCAGCCGCGGUAAUACGUAGGGUGCAAGCGUUAAUCGGAAUUACUGGGCGUAAAGCGUGCGCAGGCGGUUAUGUAAGACAGGUGUGAAAUCCCCGGGCUUAACCUGGGAACUGCACUUGUGACUGCAUAGCUUGAGUGCGGCAGAGGGGGAUGGAAUUCCGCGUGUAGCAGUGAAAUGCGUAGAUAUGCGGAGGAACACCGAUGGCGAAGGCGAAUACCCCUCGGGCCUGCACUGACGCUCAUGCACGAAAGCGUGGGGAGGCAAACAGGAUUAGAUACCCUGGUAGUCCACGCCCUAAACCGAUGUCAACUGGUUGUUGGACGGCUUGCUGUUCAGUAACGUAGCUAACGCGUGAAGUUGACCGCCUGGGGNGGACGCGCGAGUAGAGUAGAGAAGUAGAGCGNGAGAGAGCGAGACGACGACGAGGGAGGAGG